This 796-nucleotide ribosomal RNA is filed under the name uncultured Chitinophagaceae bacterium. RNAcentral's name for it is "bacterial SSU rRNA". It matches the Rfam family "Bacterial small subunit ribosomal RNA", at positions 8 to 796 of the family's 1533-position model. The record is from RNAcentral. Lineage: Bacteria; Pseudomonadati; Bacteroidota; Chitinophagia; Chitinophagales; Chitinophagaceae.
AGAGUUUGAUCAUGGCUCAGGAUGAACGCUAGCGGCAGGCUUAAUACAUGCAAGUCGAGGGGCAGCGGGGUGUAGCAAUACACUGCCGGCGACCGGCAAACGGGUGCGGAACACGUACGCAAUCUACCCAAAACUGAGGAAUAGCCCUCCGAAAGGAGGAUUAAUACCUCGUAACAUCUUAGAGUGGCAUCACUUUUAGAUUAUAGCUCCGGCGGUUUUGGAUGAGCGUGCGCCUGAUUAGGUAGUUGGUGUGGGUAAUGGCCCACCAAGCCUUCGAUCAGUAACUGGUGUGAGAGCACGACCAGUCACACGGGCACUGAGACACGGGCCCGACUCCUACGGGAGGCAGCAGUAAGGAAUAUUGGUCAAUGGACGCAAGUCUGAACCAGCCAUGCCGCGUGAAGGAUGAAGGUCCUCUGGAUUGUAAACUUCUUUUAUAGGGGAAGAAACCGGAAAAUUCUUUUUCCGUUGACGGUACCCUGGGAAUAAGCACCGGCUAACUCCGUGCCAGCAGCCGCGGUAAUACGGAGGGUGCAAGCGUUAUCCGGAUUCACUGGGUUUAAAGGGUGCGUAGGUGGGUCUGUAAGUCAGUGGUGAAAUCUCCAAGCUUAACUUGGAAACUGCCGUUGAUACUAUAGGUCUUGAAUGUUGUGGAGGUGAGCGGAAUAUGUCAUGUAGCGGUGAAAUGCUUAGAUAUGACAUAGAACACCAAUUGCGAAGGCAGCUCACUACACAAAUAUUGACACUGAGGCACGAAAGCGUGGGGAUCAAACAGGAUUAGAUACCCUCGUAGUCC